GUGCCAGCCGCCGCGGUAAUACCGGCAGCCCAAGUGAUGGCCGCUGUUAUUGGGCCUAAAGCGUCCGUAGCUGGCCGCACAAGUCCGUCGGGAAAUCCGCCCGCUCAACGGGCGGCCGUCCGGCGGAACCUGUGUGGCUUGGGACCGGGAGGCCUGAGGGGUACGAUCGGGGUAGGAGUGAAAUCCUGUAAUCCCGCUCGGACCGCCGAUGGGGAAACCACGUUGAGAGACCGGACCCGACAGUGAGGGACGAAAGCCAGGGUCUCGAACCGGAUUAGAAACCCUUGUAGUCC
Molecule: ribosomal RNA, 293 nt
Filed under: uncultured bacterium
Lineage: Bacteria
Description: partial 16S ribosomal RNA
Rfam family: Archaeal small subunit ribosomal RNA
Source: RNAcentral